UACGUAGGGUGCGAGCGUUGUCCGGAUUUAUUGGGCGUAAAGGGCUCGUAGGCGGCGUGUCGCGUCGGGAGUGAAAUCCGGGGCUCAACCCCGGACUGCAGUGGGUACGGGCAGACUAGAGUGUGGUAGGGGAGACUGGAAUUCCUGGGUGUAGCGGUGAAAUGCGCCAGACUAUCAGGAGGGAACACCGAGUCGGCGAAGGCAGGUCUCUGGGCC
Molecule: ribosomal RNA, 216 nt
Filed under: uncultured bacterium
Lineage: Bacteria
Description: partial 16S ribosomal RNA
Rfam family: Bacterial small subunit ribosomal RNA
Source: RNAcentral